Small nuclear RNA from Marmota marmota marmota (Alpine marmot), 156 nucleotides. Its record names the gene U1. It matches the Rfam family "U1 spliceosomal RNA". From Rfam's summary of the family: U1 is a small nuclear RNA (snRNA) component of the spliceosome (involved in pre-mRNA splicing). Its 5' end forms complementary base pairs with the 5' splice junction, thus defining the 5' donor site of an intron. The record is from Ensembl. NCBI's taxonomy places the organism in Eukaryota, Metazoa, Chordata, Mammalia, Rodentia, Sciuridae.
AUACUUACCUGGCAGGGGAGAUACCACAAUCAUGAAGGUGGUUUCCUAGGUCUAGUCUUAUCCAUUGCACUCUGGAAGUGCUGACCCCUGCGAUUUCCCCAAAUUCGGGAAACUCUACUGCAUAAUUUGUGGUAGUGGAGGGACUAUGUUCCUGCC